UUAAGCGACUAAGCGUACACGGUGGAUGCCCUGGCAGUCAGAGGCGAUGAAGGACGUGCUAAUCUGCGAUAAGCGUCGGUAAGGUGAUAUGAACCGUUAUAACCGGCGAUUUCCGAAUGGGGAAACCCAGUGUGUUUCGACACACUAUCAUUAACUGAAUCCAUAGGUUAAUGAGGCGAACCGGGGGAACUGAAACAUCUAAGUACCCCGAGGAAAAGAAAUCAACCGAGAUUCCCCCAGUAGCGGCGAGCGAACGGGGAGNAGCCCAGAGCCUGAAUCAGUGUGUGUGUUAGUGGAAGCGUCUGGAAAGGCGCGCGAUACAGGGUGACAGCCCCGUACACAAAAAUGCACAUGCUGUGAGCUCGAUGAGUAGGGCGGGACACGUGGUAUCCUGUCUGAAUAUGGGGGGACCAUCCUCCAAGGCUAAAUACUCCUGACUGACCGAUAGUGAACCAGUACCGUGAGGGAAAGGCGAAAAGAACCCCGGCGAGGGGAGUGAAAAAGAACCUGAAACCGUGUACGUACAAGCAGUGGGAGCACGCUUAGGCGUGUGACUGCGUACCUUUUGUAUAAUGGGUCAGCGACUUAUAUUCUGUAGCAAGGUUAACCGAAUAGGGGAGCCGAAGGGAAACCGAGUCUUAACUGGGCGUUAAGUUGCAGGGUAUAGACCCGAAACCCGGUGAUCUAGCCAUGGGCAGGUUGAAGGUUGGGUAACACUAACUGGAGGACCGAACCGACUAAUGUUGAAAAAUUAGCGGAUGACUUGUGGCUGGGGGUGAAAGGCCAAUCAAACCGGGAGAUAGCUGGUUCUCCCCGAAAGCUAUUUAGGUAGCGCCUCGUGAAUUCAUCUCCGGGGGUAGAGCACUGUUUCGGCAAGGGGGUCAUCCCGACUUACCAACCCGAUGCAAACUGCGAAUACCGGAGAAUGUUAUCACGGGAGACACACGGCGGGUGCUAACGUCCGUCGUGAAGAGGGAAACAACCCAGACCGCCAGCUAAGGUCCCAAAGUCAUGGUUAAGUGGGAAACGAUGUGGGAAGGCCCAGACAGCCAGGAUGUUGGCUUAGAAGCAGCCAUCAUUUAAAGAAAGCGUAAUAGCUCACUGGUCGAGUCGGCCUGCGCGGAAGAUGUAACGGGGCUAAACCAUGCACCGAAGCUGCGGCAGCGACGCUUAUGCGUUGUUGGGUAGGGGAGCGUUCUGUAAGCCUGUGAAGGUGUGCUGUGAGGCAUGCUGGAGGUAUCAGAAGUGCGAAUGCUGACAUAAGUAACGAUAAAGCGGGUGAAAAGCCCGCUCGCCGGAAGACCAAGGGUUCCUGUCCAACGUUAAUCGGGGCAGGGUGAGUCGACCCCUAAGGCGAGGCCGAAAGGCGUAGUCGAUGGGAAACAGGUUAAUAUUCCUGUACUUGGUGUUACUGCGAAGGGGGGACGGAGAAGGCUAUGUUGGCCGGGCGACGGUUGUCCCGGUUUAAGCGUGUAGGCUGGUUUUCCAGGCAAAUCCGGAAAAUCAAGGCUGAGGCGUGAUGACGAGGCACUACGGUGCUGAAGCAACAAAUGCCCUGCUUCCAGGAAAAGCCUCUAAGCAUCAGGUAACAUCAAAUCGUACCCCAAACCGACACAGGUGGUCAGGUAGAGAAUACCAAGGCGCUUGAGAGAACUCGGGUGAAGGAACUAGGCAAAAUGGUGCCGUAACUUCGGGAGAAGGCACGCUGAUAUGUAGGUGAAGUCCCUUGCGGAUGGAGCUGAAAUCAGUCGAAGAUACCAGCUGGCUGCAACUGUUUAUUAAAAACACAGCACUGUGCAAACACGAAAGUGGACGUAUACGGUGUGACGCCUGCCCGGUGCCGGAAGGUUAAUUGAUGGGGUCAGCGCAAGCGAAGCUCUUGAUCGAAGCCCCGGUAAACGGCGGCCGUAACUAUAACGGUCCUAAGGUAGCGAAAUUCCUUGUCGGGUAAGUUCCGACCUGCACGAAUGGCGUAAUGAUGGCCAGGCUGUCUCCACCCGAGACUCAGUGAAAUUGAACUCGCUGUGAAGAUGCAGUGUACCCGCGGCAAGACGGAAAGACCCCGUGAACCUUUACUAUAGCUUGACACUGAACAUUGAGCCUUGAUGUGUAGGAUAGGUGGGAGGCUUUGAAGUGUGGACGCCAGUCUGCAUGGAGCCGACCUUGAAAUACCACCCUUUAAUGUUUGAUGUUCUAACGUUGACCCCUAAUCGGGGUUGCGGACAGUGUCUGGUGGGUAGUUUGACUGGGGCGGUCUCCUCCUAAAGAGUAACGGAGGAGCACGAAGGUUGGCUAAUCCUGGUCGGACAUCAGGAGGUUAGUGCAAUGGCAUAAGCCAGCUUGACUGCGAGCGUGACGGCGCGAGCAGGUGCGAAAGCAGGUCAUAGUGAUCCGGUGGUUCUGAAUGGAAGGGCCAUCGCUCAACGGAUAAAAGGUACUCCGGGGAUAACAGGCUGAUACCGCCCAAGAGUUCAUAUCGACGGCGGUGUUUGGCACCUCGAUGUCGGCUCAUCACAUCCUGGGGCUGAAGUAGGUCCCAAGGGUAUGGCUGUUCGCCAUUUAAAGUGGUACGCGAGCUGGGUUUAGAACGUCGUGAGACAGUUCGGUCCCUAUCUGCCGUGGGCGCUGGAGAACUGAGGGGGGCUGCUCCUAGUACGAGAGGACCGGAGUGGACGCAUCACUGGUGUUCGGGUUGUCAUGCCAAUGGCACUGCCCGGUAGCUAAAUGCGGAAGAGAUAAGUGCUGAAAGCAUCUAAGCACGAAACUUGCCCCGAGAUGAGUUCUCCCUGACNGUCCUGAAGGAACGUUGAAGACGACGACGUUGAUAGGCCGGGUGUGUAAGCGCAGCGAUGCGUUGAGCUAACCGGUACUAAUGAACCGUGAGGCUUAACCUU
RNAcentral lists this ribosomal RNA (2894 nucleotides) under Escherichia coli. RNAcentral's name for it is "23S ribosomal RNA". It matches the Rfam family "Bacterial large subunit ribosomal RNA". The record is from RNAcentral. Lineage: Bacteria; Pseudomonadati; Pseudomonadota; Gammaproteobacteria; Enterobacterales; Enterobacteriaceae.